AUCCUCUUCUCCUCCAAUCCUCUUCUCCUCUGCUCCUCUUCUCCUCCAAUCCUCUUCUCCUCCGCUCCUCUUCUCCUCCACUCAGAUGAGUAAUGGAAGAAGAGCAAUAAUGAAAGCGUGUAGAAAGAGAGGGAGGAGGGGUUGUUAAACCCACUUGAAAGCUCCCUCCAAUCGAUAGUGACGGGCCAAGCACGGAUUAAACCCAGGUUAAGUCCACUCUAAUCAAUACUGAUGGCCAACCCAGGGGUUAAAACACGAGUCAUUCUCAGCAGAUCCAUCCAGGCAGUAGCACUGUGGCCCAUCGCACAGAUACAUCUACAGCCAUGGACACUACGAGUUAACAUCUACAGCCAUGGACACUAUGGGUUAACAUCUACAGUCAUGGACACUACAGGUUAACAUCUACAGCCAUGGACACUACGAGUUAACAUCUACAGCCAUGGACACUACGGGUUAACAUCUACAGCCAUGGACACUAUGGGUUAACAUCUACAGCCAUGGAUGCUACAGGUUAACAUCUACAGCCAUGGACACUACGGGUUAACAUCUACACGUAUUCAGUUUGGAUGACUCCCGCUAUGGGCUGGAACAGUG
Molecule: long non-coding RNA, 594 nt
Filed under: Salmo salar (Atlantic salmon)
Lineage: Eukaryota; Metazoa; Chordata; Actinopteri; Salmoniformes; Salmonidae
Description: lncRNA (ENSSSAG00000103114.1)
Source: RNAcentral